This 534-nucleotide ribosomal RNA is filed under the name uncultured fungus. Its description in RNAcentral is "eukaryotic LSU rRNA". The stretch from base 145 to 296 matches the Rfam family "5.8S ribosomal RNA". The record is from RNAcentral. Lineage: Eukaryota; Fungi.
AAGGAUCAUUAACACUAAUCCAACUCAACUCAACCAAGCCUUCAGUUGCAGUAGUACGAGCUAGCGAAAGCAAAGCAGUGCCGCUGCAGCAACAACAUAACUAAUCAAACAAAGGAGCCUAACUAAGCUCAACCACAACAACCAAAUUCUCAACGAUGGAUAUCUUGGUUCCCAUAACGAUGAAGAACGCAGCGAAGUGCGAUAAGCAAUGCGAAUUGCAGAACCGUGAGUCAUCAGAUUUUUGAACGCAUCUGGCGCCGGCUGGCUCUCCAGCCGGCAUGCUUGUUUCAGUGUCUUGUUAUCUCCUCACCCAAAUCUUAAUGCAAGAGAUACCCUUCUCUUGUCAAGCAAGAAAGCACUCUGCGCUCUGCGAGCGACUUCAACUUGUUUGAAGGUUGCACUCAAUGCAGCAGUCACAUUGCUCACAAUGUGAACUCAUUGAGAGCAGAGGCAGUGCAGCUUCGGCUGCCAGUGCUUAGACACUAUAACUUUCUUUGUAUCUGAAAUCAAGCAGGAUCACCCGCUGAACUUAAG